RNAcentral lists this ribosomal RNA (900 nucleotides) under uncultured Bacteroidota bacterium. RNAcentral's name for it is "bacterial SSU rRNA". It matches the Rfam family "Bacterial small subunit ribosomal RNA", at positions 600 to 1501 of the family's 1533-position model. The record is from RNAcentral. Lineage: Bacteria; Pseudomonadati; Bacteroidota.
UCCCACAGCUCAACUGUGGAACUNCCUUUGAUACUGCCAGUCUUGAGUAUAGUUGAAGUGGGCGGAAUGUGUCAUGUAGCGGUGAAAUGCUUAGAUAUGACACAGAACACCGAUCGCGAAGGCAGCUCGCUAAGCUAUAACUGACGCUCAUGCACGAAAGCGUGGGGAUCAAACAGGAUUAGAUACCCUGGUAGUCCACGCCGUAAACGAUGAUUACUCGAUGUUGGCGAUAUACAGUCAGCGUCUGAGCGAAAGCAAUAAGUAAUCCACCUGGGGAGUACGAUCGCAAGAUUGAAACUCAAAGGAAUUGACGGGGGCCCGCACAAGCGGAGGAGCAUGUGGUUUAAUUCGAUGAUACGCGAGGAACCUUACCUGGGCUAGAACGUAGAGUGACUGCAGGUGAAAGCCUGCUUCCCUUCGGGGCAGUCUACGAGGUGCUGCAUGGUUGUCGUCAGCUCGUGCCGUGAGGUGUCGGGUUAAGUCCCAUAACGAGCGCAACCCCUAUCUUUAGUUGCCAACAGGUCAAGCUGGGGACUCUAAAGAAACUGCCUACGCAAGUAGUGAGGAAGGCGGGGAUGACGUCAAAUCAGCACGGCCCUUACGUCCAGGGCUACACACGUGCUACAAUGGCCGAUACAGAGGGCAGCUACCAGGUGACUGGAUGCAAAUCUCCAAAGUCGGUCUCAGUUCGGAUCGGAGUCUGCAACCCGACUCCGUGAAGUUGGAUUCGCUAGUAAUCGCAUAUCAGCCAUGAUGCGGUGAAUACGUUCCCGGGCCUUGUACACACCGCCCGUCACACCACGGGAGUCGACUGGUCCCGAAGUGCGUGAGCUAACCAGCAAUGGAGGCAGCGUCCUAAGGAAUGGUCGGUGACUGGGGUGAAGUCGUAACAAGGUAACC